AUGGCUCUUUGAUAUAAAAACAUAAAGAGUCUGGCCUGCCCAGUGAUUCCAUUUAACGGCCGCGGUACUUUGACCGUGCGAAGGUAGCAUAAUCAUUUGUCUUAUAAUUGAAGUCUGGAAUGAAUGGUUAGACAAGAGCAAAGCUGUCUCUAUCUAUUUAAUAUAACUUUAUGAUCAAGUUAAAAAGCUUGAAUAAAAUUAGAAGACGASAAGACCCYAUCGAGCUUCAGGUAUUAUUAAAAUUUUUUACAUUAAUGUAAAGUCAAUAUUUAAAUUUACUUUAGUUGGGGCGACUCGAGAACAUUUAAAGCUUCUUGUUAUUAAAAACAUUGAUGGUUGACCCUUAAGUAUUAGGAUUAAAAGAAUUAGUUACCGUAGGGAUAACWGCMUUAUCUUUUUUGAGAGCUCAAAUCGAAAAAAAGGUUUGUGACCUCGAUGUUGGACCMAGAUAUCCUUAAGAUGUARAAGUCUUAAAAGGUUGGUCUGUUCGACCAU
RNAcentral lists this ribosomal RNA (495 nucleotides) under Marsenia sp. MNHN IM 2019-7654. RNAcentral describes it as "partial large subunit ribosomal RNA". Lineage: Eukaryota; Metazoa; Mollusca; Gastropoda; Littorinimorpha; Velutinidae. The record is from RNAcentral.